This 253-nucleotide ribosomal RNA is filed under the name uncultured bacterium. Its description in RNAcentral is "partial 16S ribosomal RNA". It matches the Rfam family "Bacterial small subunit ribosomal RNA", at positions 524 to 776 of the family's 1533-position model. The record is from RNAcentral.
GACGUAGGAUGCGAGCGUUAAUCGGAAUUACUGGGCGUAAAGCGUGCGCAGGCGGCUUUGCAAGACAGAUGUGAAAUCCCCGGGCUCAACCUGGGAACUGCAUUUGUGACUGCAUGGCUGGAGUGCGGCAGAGGGGGAUGGAAUUCCGCGUGUAGCAGUGAAAUGCGUAGAUAUGCGGAGGAACACCGAUGGCGAAGGCAAUCCCCUGGGCCUGCACUGACGCUCAUGCACGAAAGCGUGGGGAGCAAACAGG